Molecule: long non-coding RNA, 326 nt
Filed under: Mytilus galloprovincialis (Mediterranean mussel)
Lineage: Eukaryota; Metazoa; Mollusca; Bivalvia; Mytilida; Mytilidae
Source: RNAcentral
UGGCAUAUCAAAGAACCCCAAUUAUUCAAUUUUUGAUGAAAUCAAACAAAGUUUAAUUUUGGACCCCGAUUUGGACCAACUUAAAAACUGGGCCAAUAAUCAAAAAUCUAAGUACAUUUUUAGAUUCAGCAUAUCAAAGAACCCCAAGGAUUCAAUUUUUGUUAAAAUCAAACUAAGUUUAAUUUUGGACCCUUUGGACCUUAAUGUAGACCAAUUUGAAAACGGGACCAAAAAUUAAGAAUCUAAAUACACAGUUAAAUUCGGCAUAUCAAAGAACCCCAAUUAUUCAAUUUUUGAUGAAAUCAAACAAAGUUCAAUUUUGGGAC